UACGGAGGGUGCAAGCGUUAUCCGGAUUCACUGGGUUUAAAGGGUGCGUAGGUGGCUUUUUAAGUCAGGGGUGAAAGACGGUAGCUUAACUAUCGCAGUGCCUUUGAUACUGAAGAGCUUGAAUGAACUAGAGGUAGGCGGAAUGUGACAAGUAGCGGUGAAAUGCAUAGAUAUGUCACAGAACACCAAUUGCGAAGGCAGCUUACUAUGGUUUUAUUGACACUGAGGCACGAAAGCGUGGGGAGCAAACAGG
Molecule: ribosomal RNA, 253 nt
Filed under: uncultured bacterium
Lineage: Bacteria
Description: partial 16S ribosomal RNA
Rfam family: Bacterial small subunit ribosomal RNA
Source: RNAcentral